UGAUGGGAUAACAGUUGGAAACGACUGCUAAUACCGAAUAUGCUCAUGAUGAACUUUAUGAGGAAAGGUGGCCUCUGCUUGCAAGCUAUCGCAUAGAGAUGAGUCCGCGUCCCAUUAGCUAGUUGGUGGGGUAACGGCCUACCAAGGCAACGAUGGGUAGCCGAUCUGAGAGGAUGAUCGGCCACACUGGAACUGAAACACGGUCCAG
Molecule: ribosomal RNA, 208 nt
Filed under: uncultured bacterium
Lineage: Bacteria
Description: partial 16S ribosomal RNA
Rfam family: Bacterial small subunit ribosomal RNA
Source: RNAcentral